GAAAACAUCCACGCCGCAGGAACAAAAUAUCUGUGCUCAUCACGAAAAUCAAUGUUUUACGUUGCAUCGAUUUUUUUUUCGCAGCCGGCGCCCGACAUGCUUAAAACAACCCUGACUGAGAAGCAAAAGAUUGUAUAUUGAUCUCCUUGUUCGUUUAGAUAAAGUUGUACUAAGUUGAUUGAUAUUUAUUUUGACUGCAUAAGAUGCAACGUAAUCAGAUAAAAUGUUAUUGUUAUUACAGUACUUAGAUGCAAACAAUAUGGUUAUAUGUGUAUACGCAACAUCUCUAAAGUGCAAAUACUUCUGUUUACUUUAGAAUCUGCAACGGAAUUGUUAGAUACAUAGGUACGAGCUAGAUAUUUUACUAUUGAAGAGCAUCUAUUUGCGACGGUGUUUAAUCACAGGUUAAGGUAGAUAACGGGUGGAUAUUUGAAAUAAUCGUCAUAGACAUUAAUCAGUCGUUAUCACUACGGGAAUUUAUCAGCGAAGCCGCGAAUAGUCCUUUCCUAGCCAUUGUUCGCUUUAGUUCGCAUUCACGCACCGACAUUACUAUAAUCAUUUUAUUUAUUUAAGUUUUAAAUAUGAAAAAUGUUUAAUUUGUGACUAAUUGUAAAAGUGUAUUGAAAAAGUGCAGUUGAACAAAAUAGUGAUACCUACAUUUUUAGGGAUACCCCAUUAGCAGUAAGCAAUGAAAGGACGAAGCAGAGCGCGCGUGACCGGCGCCGGCACCAAGUUCCGGUUGCUGAUGUGGAAGAACUUCCUGCAGCAGUGGCGGCGCCGCGUCCAGACCUUCGUGGAGGUGUUACUGCCUGUGCUGACGUUGGCGCUGGUCCUCAUCCUGCGCUCGCAGAUCGAACCCACGGUGGAGAGCGUCAUGACCUACCCGUCCUUGCCUGCGUGGACGUUGAAUUAUUCAUUAAACGUUCUCGGAGGCAUGGAUUUCGGUCAGCUGUCCGUCGCAUACUCGCCUGAGAGCCCUGUUCUAGAAAAAGUGAUGAGAAGAGCGACCGCUAAAUUAAUAACUCGAAACCUACGAGACCUGACACGGUUCAUAUUAGAUCAAUAUCCGGACUAUGCAGAUAUGAUACCACCAGAUCUAGAAUUACCCGAUUUAUCAGAACUUCCUAUUAACGGAACACUUAUUACUGAAAUUAUUGAAAGAAUCGUCGGGUUAAGAGUGUAUGCUUAUAAUAGCAGUGAGAGUUUGAGAGGGUUAUAUACGUCAGAAAACGUAACAAGGCAUGUUAUAGCUGGGGUAGAGUUUGAUGACGAGCUUACGGGCGCCACGCAGCUCGGCAGUAACUUGCGGUAUUCCCUGAGGUUCCCGGAAAGACCGCGGCAGUACGCGUUCUACUCGCAAGGGUCUCGGUCGUGGCAGACUGACUUGACGUUUCCUUCUUUUCAAGUUCCUGGGCCGAGGAAUCCGUAUUCUUGGGAAGGCGGCAAUGCGCCAGGAUACGUAAACGAAAUGUUCAUAGCGCUCCAGCAUAUGAUAUCCAUGGAGCUCGUAGCUGAAGUCACUGGACAAGACUUCUCCAAUUUCAGCGUGGCUAUACGGAGAUACCCACACCCUCCUUACGUGCUUGAUUUGGCCGUAGAAGCCUUGCAGUUCCUUAUGCCCAUGUUUAUAAUGAUCAGCUUUAGCUACACGGCUAUAAAUAUCGUCCGGGCGGUCACGGUUGAAAAAGAACUGCAACUUAAGGAAACGAUGAAGAUCAUGGGACUUCCCACUUGGUUACACUGGACAGCGUGGUUUUGUAAACAAUUUAUUUAUCUCCUGAUCAUAGCGAUUCUAGUUGUGAUUCUUGUUAAGGUAAACUGGUUCACGAACGAAGCAGGUUUCAGCGACUACGCUGUGCUUACAAACACGCCGUGGACGGUGCUUUUCUUCUUCUUACUUUUGUACUUCGCCUGCACGAUAUUCUUUUGUUUUAUGAUCAGCGGAUUCUUCUCUAAAGCUAGCACAGCAGCGUUGUUUUCCGGGGUGAUCUGGUUCAUCACCUACCUGCCGGCGUUUAUGCUGCUCAUGGACGUCCAGGUGUCGUCGGCCGUGCAGGCGGUUUUCUGCCUCAGCAUCAACACCGCCAUGGCGUUUGGGUUCCAGCUGAUACUUGCUAAGGAGAGCGCUGGAGGCAUGCAAUGGGGCCAAUUUUGGGAGGUGACGGAUCUGGACUCAAACCGCUUCGAGUUCGGAACCGUGGUGGUGAUGCUAGUUAUAGACUGCGUGUUGUACAUGCUGAUCGCUCUCUACCUGGAGCAGGUGCUGCCCGGGCCGCACGCUGCACCCAAGCCUUGGUAUUUCAUGUUCCAGAAAAGCUUUUGGCUCCCUAACAGAAAAAUUACCGCAGUUGAUAUCACAAAUGGUUCCAACGAUGGUAUCGUAAUGGAAAAAGUCGCCGACGACUACCCCAUCGGAGUUAAAAUGACGAAUUUAACGAAAGUUUACGCGAAGAACGUGGCGGUCAAUAAUUUGUGUCUAGAUAUAUAUGAUGGACAAAUCACCGUGUUACUUGGACACAAUGGCGCCGGGAAAUCCACAACAAUUUCCAUGCUUACGGGUAACACAGAAGUAACCAGCGGAUCAGUAUGGAUGGCGGGAUACGACAUAUCCCAGCAAACUGCCGCGGCCCGCGCCAAUCUCGGCUUCUGUCCGCAACACAACGUACUGUUCAACGAGCUGACCGUCAGGGAACAUCUGGAGUUCUUCGCCAGACUCAAGGGUUUCACGGGCCAAGACCUGCAAGACGAUAUCGAUACUUUGAUUACAAAGCUCGAGUUGGAUGAUAAGCGUGAUUACCAGUCAGCCGGGCUGUCUGGAGGGCAAAAGCGGAGGCUGUCAGUGGGUAUAGCCCUGAGCGGCGCGCCGCGGGUAGUGCUACUCGAUGAACCCACCUCCGGUAUGGACCCCGCGUCCCGGCGCGCUCUGUGGGAUCUACUGCAGAAGGAGAAAGCGGGGCGUUCCAUGAUCCUCACAACUCAUUUCAUGGACGAGGCGGACAUACUUGGAGACAGAGUCGCUAUAAUGUCGAGCGGGCGUCUCCAGUGUGUCGGUUCACCAUACUUCCUGAAGAAGCACUAUGGCGUGGGAUACACGCUUGUGGUUGUCAAGAGAAAAGGUUUCCAACUUGAAUCUUGUACGGAGAUCAUUGGACGACAUAUACCGGGAAUAGCAAUAAAAGAAGAUAGAGGAACUGAAGUUACAUACGGUUUAACAAACGACCAGUCGCAUUUAUUUGAAGCAAUGCUAAACGAUUUGGAGGCGAAUAUCGAUACCGUAAAAUUUAAAAACUAUGGUCUGACGGCUACUACCCUUGAAGACGUUUUUAUGUCUGUUGGCUCUGAUGUGGGCCCCACCGCGUUUGAUGAUGUGGAAACCAAUACGUCUGGAGGGACUGACGAUAUGAUAGCGGACAUGGACAUAUUAUCGAUGGAUCAAAUGGACAAGGAACAAGACAUGCUAAGCGGGUUCCGACUCUUUGUGCAGCACGUCCUGGCCGUCUGGUAUAAGCUGUGGCUGGUGUGGUCCCGUUCGUGGAUGCUACUUCUGAUGCAGGUGCUAGUCCCACUGCUAAUGAUCAACAUCACGCUUGGGAUUCUCCAGUGGGUCAUGUCGGUGCAGCCAAAAGUCAUACCAAGAGCGCUGACACUUGGACAAGGCUUCGUAGAAACGGAAACGGUACUAUCUUACAAUGGUACUUCAGAGAACUCGAUUGGUGCACUCGCCAAGGUCGCUUACGAACACAUGUUCAACUCGAGUAACGUUGAAACUAUGAAGAUUACCGUCGUGGAGAAUCAAGCUGUCGAUGACUACUAUUUGUAUAGGACUAAUGAAGCCUCACAAAUGGCGUUUCUCCGAGGCCGAAUGCUGACCGGGGUCACAUUCGAUGAAGACUCAGCCACAGCUUGGUUCAGUAACUUCGGGUUCCACGACGUGGCGAUCUCUCUAAGCGCCGUGCAUCAGGCCUUGCUCAAGGCUUGGCACCCGAACGCUACGCUUAGCGUGUUUAACUACCCGCUUGAAGUUAAUUAUAUGGAUCAGAGCAACAUGCAGUCCUACGUCGCAUAUCUCUCCACGCAACUCUCCUCAGGCAUAGCAAGCAGUUUUGGCAUCGUGAGCGCAGUUUACGUUAUGUUUUAUAUAAAGGAACGCAUACUUCGAGCGAAGCUCCUGCAGAAGGCGGCCGGUAUCCAGCCGAUAGUGAUGUGGGCCAGCGCGGCCGUCGUCGACUGGGCGUGGUACUGCGUUAUAUCCGUCACCAUCGUCAUCUCCUGUGUAGCCUUCCAGGUUAUCGGCCUCAGCACGGCUACCGAAUUAGGUCGGAUGUACCUAGCUCUCAUGGUGUACGGCGCGUCCAUGCUGCCGCUGCACUACCUCCUGUCGUUCCUGUUCAAAGGCCCUGCGACGGGCUUCGUCGCCGUAUUCUUCAUUAAUGUGUUGUUUGGUCAAAUGGGAGCACAAAUCGUAGAGGCGCUGCUCUCCCCUGCGCUGGGCACAGAGGACGUGGCGCAGAUCCUCGACUCCAUACUGCAGCUGUUCCCGCUCUACAGCCUCGUCAGGUCCAUCACGUUUCUAAGCCACAUCGGUUUAACCGAAUGGUCGUGCUUGCAAGCGUGCGACUACCUAUCGGCCGUUUUGCCCGUCGGCGAGUGCACCGUACAAACCAUGUGCGAUCGUAACUUCACGGCUUGCUGUGUGCGCGACGAUCCGUUCUUCGAGUGGGAAGAGCCCGGGAUCUUGCGCUACCUGACCUGCAUGUUGGUCUCCGGCGCUGUCUUCUGGAUUGUGCUUCUGGUUAUUGAGUACGAUGUCUACCACAAGAUCUUUAACUGGACGAAAACCCCACCACCUCUCGAUGAGAGCUCUAUAGAUCCAGAUGUUGUAGCCGAGAUGAAACACGUCGAGCAAAUCAGCAAGGCCAACCUAGCGCAGCAGAGCCUCGUGGCAAAGGGCCUAUCGAAAUACUAUGGGAAACAUCUGGCUGUCAACCAAGUUUCAUUUACGGUGGCAGAUGGCGAGGUGUUUGGUCUGCUCGGCGUGAAUGGCGCUGGCAAGACGACCACCUUCAAAAUGCUGAUGGGCGACGAAAUCAUCUCCAGCGGAGAUGCCUUUGUCAGUGGCUACUCUGUGAAAACGGAUAUCAAUUCUGUUCAUGAGAAUAUAGGGUACUGCCCGCAGUUUGACGCAGUGUUCGGUGAGCUGACGGGCCGCGAGACUCUUCGGUUGUUCACGAUGCUGCGCGGGCUGCCGACACAGUACGCCUCCAUGCGAGCGGACUUGCUCGCUGACUCGCUUGGCUUCACCAAGCAUUUGGACAAGCGGGUAGAACAGUAUUCCGGAGGCAAUAAACGAAAGCUAAGCACGGCUAUAGCGUUGCUUGGAUUCACACGGCUUGUAUUCGUCGACGAACCUACUACGGGAGUAGACCCAGCCGCUAAGCGACAGGUAUGGCGUGCCAUUCGCGGCGCGCGGCGCGCGGGUCGCGGCGUGGUGCUGACGUCACACAGCAUGGAGGAGUGUGAGGCGCUCUGCUCCCGUCUCACCAUCAUGGUCAACGGAAACUUCCAGUGUCUCGGCACCCCGCAGCACUUGAAGAACAAGUUCUCUGAAGGAUUCACAUUAACGAUAAAAAUGAAAAUAGACGAAGAAAGUGCGGAUUCUAUAGCUGGAGCACGCGGCAUUGCGGCGGUCAAACGUUACGUAGAAAACAAUUUUACUACUCCCAAGCUGAUGGAAGAGUACCAAGGCCUUCUCACCUACUACUUACCAGACAGAAGCGUGGCGUGGUCCAGAAUGUUCGGCACGAUGGAACGCUGCCGGCAAGACCAUGACGUAGAGGACUAUACAAUCUCACAGACUACGCUGGAACAAAUCUUCCUACAGUUCACCAAGUACCAGAGAGAAAUGUCCGAAAGGUUAUAGUAUUAGACUUGACAUAUAAAGAGAAAUAUACACACAAUGCCAAAGAUAUGCUCAAAAAAACUAUGACAGUUAUAGACUAAACUGGCUUUAAGUAGUGAACACACGACCGCGCCGUCCUUGAAAGUUUUCACGUAAGAGCUAGAGUAAAAUAACUCUUUCUCGCUCUCACUUACAGCAUAGUAUGUGGAUGAUCUUGGUGCGGUGCGGUCGUUUGUUAGCUCAACACAACAAGAUGUGAUUUCUA
This 6164-nucleotide unclassified non-coding RNA is filed under the name Leguminivora glycinivorella. RNAcentral's name for it is "phospholipid-transporting ATPase ABCA3-like, transcript variant X1". The record is from RNAcentral. Lineage: Eukaryota; Metazoa; Arthropoda; Insecta; Lepidoptera; Tortricidae.